Molecule: ribosomal RNA, 440 nt
Filed under: uncultured bacterium
Lineage: Bacteria
Description: bacterial SSU rRNA
Rfam family: Bacterial small subunit ribosomal RNA
Source: RNAcentral
CCUACGGGGGGCAGCAGUGGGGAAUCUUGCCCAAUGGGCGAAAGCCUGAGGCAGCGACGCCGCGUGCGGGAAGAAGGCCCUCGGGUUGUAAACCGCUUUCAGGAGGGACGAAGCUACUCGGGUGAACAGCCCAGAGGGUGACGGUACCUCCAGAAGAAGCCCCGGCUAACUACGUGCCAGCAGCCGCGGUAAUACGUAGGGGGCAAGCGUUGUCCGGAUUUAUUGGGCGUAAAGCGCGUGUAGGCGGCCAGGCAGGUCCGUUGUGAAAACUGGAGGCUCAACUUCCAGACGUCGAUGGAAACCGCUUGGCUAGAGUCCGGAAGAGGAGAGUGGAAUUCCUGGUGUAGCGGUGAAAUGCGCAGAUAUCAGGAAGAACACCGAUGGCGAAGGCAGCUCUCUGGGACGGUACUGACGCUGAGACGCGAAAGCGUGGGGAGCGA